AGUCUGACGGAGCAACGCCGCGUGAGUGAUGAAGGUUUUCGGAUCGUAAAGCUCUGUUGUUAGGGAAGAACAAGUGCGAGAGUAACUGCUCGCACCUUGACGGUACCUAACCAGAAAGCCACGGCUAACUACGUGCCAGCAGCCGCGGUAAUACGUAGGUGGCAAGCGUUGUCCGGAAUUAUUGGGCGUAAAGGGCUCGCAGGCGGUUUCUUAAGUCUGAUGUGAAAGCCCCCGGCUCAACCGGGGAGGGUCAUUGGAAACUGGGAAACUUGAGUGCAGAAGAGGAGAGUGGAAUUCCACGUGUAGCGGUGAAAUGCGUAGAGAUGUGGAGGAACACCAGUGGCGAAGGCGACUCUCUGGUCUGUAACUGACGCUGAGGAGCGAAAGCGUGGGGAGCGAACAGGAUUAGAUACCCUGGUAGUC
Molecule: ribosomal RNA, 423 nt
Filed under: Bacillus safensis
Lineage: Bacteria; Bacillati; Bacillota; Bacilli; Caryophanales; Bacillaceae
Description: bacterial SSU rRNA
Rfam family: Bacterial small subunit ribosomal RNA
Source: RNAcentral